Molecule: long non-coding RNA, 591 nt
Organism: Lepisosteus oculatus (spotted gar)
Lineage: Eukaryota; Metazoa; Chordata; Actinopteri; Semionotiformes; Lepisosteidae
Source: RefSeq, a predicted model, not a curated record
UCCUCUCAGUCCUGGGGAGUCAGGUUUAGUGCUAAUAGUCCAGGGAUGGAAUAACCUUUAAUUUUAAUGCUUGAAAAACAUGUGCUGUGUGCAUAAUGAUUCCUGUGCUGGUACCAAAGAGCGCUCUUUCUUUCUUUUUUUCUCUCUCUCUCUAUCAUCGGGGCUAGUGAAUUGCAGAGGAGGGCAAGGCUCCAGCCAGACACUGUAGCAGCAGGACUUCCAGAGGCACCUCUCUCUCUCCGACCCCUAAGACCUCCGCCAUUCCUCCUCAUCCCAGCCGAGCCUGCUCUGCACUACCUCAGAUCACAGGCGGGGAUGAUGAAAAGCUUGUCGGGGAGACAGCGCCCUGCUUCAAAAAAAUCUGCAUUUUCUCAGAUUGUGAGGUUGACACCACAGCAAACCCACACCCGGUUUGAUGAGGGAGCACCGAAAGGCACAGAUUAAAACUAGAGGAGAAUACAAGAUCCGUCAUUCCUGUCGUACGAAAAUCAAAGGAAAAUCCGCCCCUUACAUAUCCCUGACUAAGAGCACCAGAUUGUUCUUUAUGCUAAUAUUUUACAAUUGCACUAAUAAAUGAAGAACAUUCCUGUC